UGAAAGGGAAACGUCUUUGAGGUGGAAA
This 28-nucleotide non-coding RNA is filed under the name Homo sapiens (human). Lineage: Eukaryota; Metazoa; Chordata; Mammalia; Primates; Hominidae. The record is from RNAcentral.